GGGGCCUACGGGAGGCAGCAGUGGGGAAUUUUCCGCAAUGGGCGAAAGCCUGACGGAGCAAUACCGCGUGAGGGACGAAGGCCUGUGGGUUGUAAACCUCUUUUGUUAGGGAAGAUAAUGACGGUACCCAACGAAUAAGCAUCGGCUAACUCCGUGCCAGCAGCCGCGGUAAGACGGAGGAUGCAAGCGUUAUCCGGAAUUAUUGGGCGUAAAGCGUACGUAGGCUGUUUAAUAAGUCUGUUGUCAAAGCCCGAGGCUCAACCUUGGAUCGGCAAUGGAAACUGUUAGACUAGAGAGAGACAGGGGCAGGAGGAAUUCCAGGUGUAGCGGUGAAAUGCGUAGAUAUCUGGAAGAACACCAGUGGCGAAAGCGUCCUGCUGGAUCUCAACUGACGCUGAAGUACGAAAGCUAGGGGAGCGAAUGGGAUUAGAUACCCCAGUAGUCCUAGCCGUAAACGAUGGACACUAGGUGUUGGCCGUAUCGACCCGGUCAGUGCCGUAGCUAACGCGUUAAGUAUCCCGCCUGGGGAGUACGCACGCAAGUGUGAAACUCAAAGGAAUUGACGGGG
This 568-nucleotide ribosomal RNA is filed under the name uncultured Pseudanabaena sp. RNAcentral's name for it is "bacterial SSU rRNA". It matches the Rfam family "Bacterial small subunit ribosomal RNA", at positions 334 to 918 of the family's 1533-position model. Lineage: Bacteria; Bacillati; Cyanobacteriota; Cyanophyceae; Pseudanabaenales; Pseudanabaenaceae. The record is from RNAcentral.